This is a long non-coding RNA of Symphalangus syndactylus (siamang), 564 nucleotides long. RefSeq lists it as uncharacterized. The record is from RefSeq and is a predicted model, not a curated record. Lineage: Eukaryota; Metazoa; Chordata; Mammalia; Primates; Hylobatidae.
ACAACAGGCACUCGAGAGAAGCUUGCGAGUGAAUGAAUGGACAAAUGGAACAGGUGGCCGGCCACACCUUCCCCACCGUGGCCGUAAAUAAUGGGCUUCGUGCAUGGAUGCUCAGGAACUUGCUCUCACAUAUGUGUUCUUCCACUCUCCUGCAUGCGUUUUUUAAACUCCUACUAUGCACCAGCCCCUCUGCUAGAAGCAGUGGGGAGAGGACGGGGUGUGGUCCCUCAUACAGUAUGCACACAGGCAGGUGAGGACAUGCCCUGCAACACCACCAGCCAGUUAACCAGUCACAGCUGCAGCGAGUCCACGAAGGGUCAGAUGACCCUUGUGGGAACUGGAGACCACGGACUGGCAUUUGGCAAAGAAAGGGGCCUGCAGAGGAUGCUUUCCUGAAAUUCAACAACAAUAAAAGAGAAAAAUGGACCGGCUGGCUCCAGACAACCACUGCCAGACAGUGCCAAGCACAGCGCCAGUGUUUAGUGGGAACUUGGGGAGAUGCUGGUUGAAUUGCACAGACCUUGAAACAGAAAUUGAACACGCCCUCAAAGUUUGCAUCUGAGC